This 533-nucleotide ribosomal RNA is filed under the name Lysobacter sp. RMN-Slr-31. RNAcentral's name for it is "bacterial SSU rRNA". It matches the Rfam family "Bacterial small subunit ribosomal RNA", at positions 110 to 639 of the family's 1533-position model. Lineage: Bacteria; Pseudomonadati; Pseudomonadota; Gammaproteobacteria; Lysobacterales; Lysobacteraceae. The record is from RNAcentral.
GGAAAACGUCGGAAUCUGCCUAUUUGUGGGGGAUAACGUAGGGAAACUUACGCUAAUACCGCAUACGACCUACGGGUGAAAGCGGAGGACCUUCGGGCUUCGCGCAGAUAGAUGAGCCGACGUCGGAUUAGCUAGUUGGCGGGGUAAAGGCCCACCAAGGCGACGAUCCGUAGCUGGUCUGAGAGGAUGAUCAGCCACACUGGAACUGAGACACGGUCCAGACUCCUACGGGAGGCAGCAGUGGGGAAUAUUGGACAAUGGGCGCAAGCCUGAUCCAGCCAUGCCGCGUGUGUGAAGAAGGCCUUCGGGUUGUAAAGCACUUUUGUCCGGAAAGAAAAGCUUUGGGUUAAUACCCCGUGGUUAUGACGGUACCGGAAGAAUAAGCACCGGCUAACUUCGUGCCAGCAGCCGCGGUAAUACGAAGGGUGCAAGCGUUACUCGGAAUUACUGGGCGUAAAGCGUGCGUAGGUGGUUUGUUAAGUCUGAUGUGAAAGCCCUGGGCUCAACCUGGGAAUGGCAUUGGAAACUGGCUG